GUGAGGAAUAUUGGGCAAUGGGCGAAAGCCUGACCCAGCCACGCCGCGUGAGUGAUGAAGGCCUUCGGGUUGUAAAGCUCUGUGGGGAGGGAAGAAAAAGCGGGAGAGUAACUGCUCUCGUGUUGACGGUACCUCCUUAGCAAGCACCGGCUAACUCUGUGCCAGCAGCCGCGGUAAUACAGAGGGUGCAAACGUUGCUCGGAAUUACUGGGCGUAAAGCGCGUGUAGGCUGACAUGCAAGUCGGGUGUGAAAUCCCAGGGCUCAACCUUGGAACUGCACUCGAAACUGCACGGCUUGAGUACUGGAGAGGGAAGCGGAAUUCCGGGUGUAGAGGUGAAAUUCGUAGAUAUCCGGAGGAACACCAGUGGCGAAGGCGGCUUCCUGGACAGUAACUGACGCUGAGACGCGAAAGCGUGGGGAGCAAACAGGAUUAGAUACCCUGGUAGUCC
RNAcentral lists this ribosomal RNA (450 nucleotides) under uncultured bacterium. RNAcentral describes it as "partial 16S ribosomal RNA". It matches the Rfam family "Bacterial small subunit ribosomal RNA", at positions 354 to 796 of the family's 1533-position model. The record is from RNAcentral.